CUUGAUGGAGCCCAGCCACAGAGGCCGGCCGUCCUCGGGACGGUCCUGGCCAUACGUGGCGAGCAAGGCCUGGGCCUC
Molecule: non-coding RNA, 78 nt
Organism: Streptomyces sp. NRRL WC-3618
Lineage: Bacteria; Bacillati; Actinomycetota; Actinomycetes; Kitasatosporales; Streptomycetaceae
Rfam family: ASpks TB sRNA
Source: Rfam